This 468-nucleotide ribosomal RNA is filed under the name uncultured bacterium. RNAcentral describes it as "bacterial SSU rRNA". It matches the Rfam family "Bacterial small subunit ribosomal RNA", at positions 328 to 792 of the family's 1533-position model. The record is from RNAcentral.
GUACCAGACUCCUACGGGAGGCAGCAGUGAGGAAUAUUGGUCAAUGGGCGGGAGCCUGAACCAGCCAAGUCGCGUGAGGGAAGACGGUCCUAUGGAUUGUAAACCUCUUUAGGCGGGGAGCAAUGCCGGGCACGCGUGCCCGGAGGGAGAGUACCCGCAGAAUAAGCAUCGGCUAACUCCGUGCCAGCAGCCGCGGUAAUACGGAGGAUGCGAGCGUUAUCCGGAUUUAUUGGGUUUAAAGGGAGCGUAGAUGGGUUGUUAAGUCAGUUGUGAAAGUUUGCGGCUCAACCGUAAAAUUGCAAUUGAUACUGGCAGCCUUGAGUACAGUUGAGGUAGGCGGAAUUCGUGGUGUAGCGGUGAAAUGCUUAGAUAUCACGCAGAACUCCGAUUGCGAAGGCAGCAUACCGGCGCGCAACUGACGCUAAUGCACGAAAGCGUGGGUAUCGAACAGGAUUAGAUACCCCUGUA